AUGAGUACUUUCUGUUGGAACUGCCGCGGUGCGGGCAACACCGCGACAGUCCAAGAACUUCGUGAUUUCACGAGGAAGCUUUCCCCUACCCUUUUAUGUAUUGUUGAAACUCAGAUAGAAGGAUCUAGGGUAGAGAAUUUAGCUGGCACAUUGGGAUAUGAUAAUGUGUAUGCAGUUGAUAGUGAAGGUAGAAGUGGUGGAAUUUGA
Molecule: ribosomal RNA, 207 nt
Filed under: Triticum aestivum (bread wheat)
Lineage: Eukaryota; Viridiplantae; Streptophyta; Magnoliopsida; Poales; Poaceae
Description: partial small subunit ribosomal RNA
Source: RNAcentral